CCCAGACUCCUACGGGAGGCAGCAGUGGGGAAUAUUGCACAAUGGGGGAAACCCUGAUGCAGCAACGCCGCGUGAGUGAAGAAGUAUUUCGGUAUGUAAAGCUCUAUCAGCAGGGAAGAAAAUGACGGUACCUGAGUAAGAAGCCCCGGCUAACUACGUGCCAGCAGCCGCGGUAAUACGUAGGGGGCAAGCGUUAUCCGGAUUUACUGGGUGUAAAGGGAGCGUAGACGGCGAUACAAGUCUGAAGUGAAAGCCGGGGGCUCAACCCCGGGACUGCUUUGGAAACUGUGUUGCUGGAGUGCUGGAGAGGCAAGCGGAAUUUCUAGUGUAGCGGUGAAAUGCGUAGAUAUUAGGAGGAACACCAGUGGCGAAGGCGGCUUACUGGACUGUAACUGACGUUGAGGCUCGAAAGCGUGGGGAGCAAACAGGAUUAGAUACCCCGGUA
This 445-nucleotide ribosomal RNA is filed under the name uncultured bacterium. RNAcentral's name for it is "bacterial SSU rRNA". It matches the Rfam family "Bacterial small subunit ribosomal RNA", at positions 330 to 792 of the family's 1533-position model. The record is from RNAcentral.